UACGAGGGGGGCGAGCGUUGUUCGGAAUUAUUGGGCGUAAAGGGUGCGUAGGCGGUUUGGUAAGUCUGAUGUGAAAUCUAUGGGCUCAACUCAUAGUCUGCAUCGGAAACUGCCGGGCUUGAGUAUGGGAGAGGUGAGUGGAAUUCCUGGUGUAGCGGUGAAAUGCGUAGAUAUCAGGAGGAACACCGGUGGCGAAGGCGGGUCUCUGGGCCGAUACUGACACUGAGAAGCGAAAGCGUGGGGAGCGAACAG
This 252-nucleotide ribosomal RNA is filed under the name uncultured bacterium. RNAcentral's name for it is "partial 16S ribosomal RNA". It matches the Rfam family "Bacterial small subunit ribosomal RNA", at positions 524 to 775 of the family's 1533-position model. The record is from RNAcentral.